AUUGAACGCUAACGGCGUGCUUAACACAUGCAAGUCGAGCGGCAGCAUGACUGUAGCAAUACAGUUGAUGGCGAGCGGCGGACGGGUGAGUAAUGCAUAGGAAUCCGCCUUGUAGUGGGGGAUAACCCGGGGAAACUCGGGCUAAUACCGCAUAAUCUCUACGGACCAAAGUGGGGGACCUUCGGGCCCUACGCGAAAAGAUGAGCCUAUGUUGGAAUAGCUAGUUGGUAGGGUAAAGGCCUACCAAGGCAACAAUCCAUAGCUGGUCUGAGAGGAUGAUCAGCCACACUGGGACUGAGACACGGCCCAGACUCCGACGGGAGGCAGCAGUGGGGAAUAUUGGACAAUGGGCGAAAGCCUGAUCCAGCAACGCCGUGUGUGUGAAGAAGGCCUUCGGGUUGUAAAGCACUUUUAGUGGGGAAGAAAAGUUCAUGGCUAAUAUCCAUGAAUGCUGACGUUACCCACAGAAAAAGCACUGGCUAACUCUGUGCCAGCCGCCGCGGUAA
RNAcentral lists this ribosomal RNA (506 nucleotides) under uncultured bacterium. RNAcentral describes it as "partial 16S ribosomal RNA". It matches the Rfam family "Bacterial small subunit ribosomal RNA", at positions 30 to 523 of the family's 1533-position model. The record is from RNAcentral.